RNAcentral lists this ribosomal RNA (464 nucleotides) under Vreelandella stevensii. RNAcentral's name for it is "partial 16S ribosomal RNA". It matches the Rfam family "Bacterial small subunit ribosomal RNA", at positions 338 to 795 of the family's 1533-position model. The record is from RNAcentral. Lineage: Bacteria; Pseudomonadati; Pseudomonadota; Gammaproteobacteria; Oceanospirillales; Halomonadaceae.
CCUACGGGCGGCAGCAGUGGGGAAUAUUGGACAAUGGGCGAAAGCCUGAUCCAGCCAUGCCGCGUGUGUGAAGAAGGCCUUCGGGUUGUAAAGCACUUUCAGUGGGGAAGAAAGCCUUGGGGCUAAUACCCUCGAGGAAGGACAUCACCCACAGAAGAAGCACCGGCUAACUCCGUGCCAGCAGCCGCGGUAAUACGGAGGGUGCGAGCGUUAAUCGGAAUUACUGGGCGUAAAGCGCGCGUAGGCGGUCUGAUAAGCCGGUUGUGAAAGCCCCGGGCUCAACCUGGGAACGGCAUCCGGAACUGUCAGGCUAGAGUGCAGGAGAGGAAGGUAGAAUUCCCGGUGUAGCGGUGAAAUGCGUAGAGAUCGGGAGGAAUACCAGUGGCGAAGGCGGCCUUCUGGACUGAAACUGACGCUGAGGUGCGAAAGCGUGGGUAGCAAACAGGAUUAGAUACCCGAUAGUC